RNAcentral lists this ribosomal RNA (204 nucleotides) under uncultured bacterium. RNAcentral describes it as "partial 16S ribosomal RNA". It matches the Rfam family "Bacterial small subunit ribosomal RNA", at positions 328 to 545 of the family's 1533-position model. The record is from RNAcentral.
ACGCUCGACACCUACGGGAGACAGCAGUGGGGAAUAUUGCACAAUGGGGGAAACCCUGAUGCAGCGACGCCGCGUGAGCGAAGAAGUAUUUCGGUAUGUAAAGCUCUAUCAGCAGGGAAGAAACUGACGGUACCUGACCAAGAAGCACCGGCUAAAUACGUGCCAGCACGCCGCAAGUAAUCUGAGGCGGGCGUGGACGAAGGC